This 663-nucleotide ribosomal RNA is filed under the name Acaulospora herrerae. RNAcentral's name for it is "LSU rRNA". It matches the Rfam family "Eukaryotic large subunit ribosomal RNA", at positions 81 to 627 of the family's 3401-position model. Lineage: Eukaryota; Fungi; Glomeromycota; Glomeromycetes; Diversisporales; Acaulosporaceae. The record is from RNAcentral.
UAGCUACGGCGAGUGAAGUGGGAAAAGCUCAAAUUUUAAAUCACUAAGGUUUCACUUUAGUGAGUUGUAAUUUGAAGAAAGUGUUUUGAUAUCCGGGUUUGAUCUAAAUCCUUUGGGAUAAGGUAUCAUAGAGGGUGAGAAUCCCGUUCAUGAUUUAAUCUUGGGUGUCACAUAAUUCACUUUCUAAGAGUCGAGUUGUUUGGGAUUGCAGCUCAAAAUGGGUGGUAAAUUUCACCUAAGGCUAAAUAUGUGCAAGAGACCGAUAGCGAACAAGUACCGUGAGGGAAAGAUGAAAAGAACUUUGAAAAGAGAGUUAAAUAGUACGUGAAAUUGUUGAAAGGGAAACGAUUAAAGUCAGUCAUGCUAGUAGGGAAUCAACUUGAUGGAUCGUGAGAUUUAUCUUGUGAUCUAUCUUGUGUACUUCCUUGCUUGGCAGGUUAGCAUCAAUUUUGGUUAUCAUUAAAAAAUUGAGGGAAUGUAGCUUUUCUUCGGAAAAGUGUUUAUAGACCUUGAUAUAUGUGGUGACCGGGAUUGAGGAUUGCAGCGGAUACCUUUUAAGGCUAGUCACCUGGCAUCUGACGGUUACCCCGCUUUCGAUAGCUUGCUAACGAUUGUGGGAUUAAACAGUCGAGAUGUUGGAGUGAACAUAAAUUCGCUAAGGAU